GGGAGAGGUUCAAGUGCGCGUUUUCUCCUUGAACCUAGAAGAUUAUGGGUCAAGAACUGUGUGCAAAGACUGUACAGCCUGGAUGCAGCUGCUAUCGUUGCUCAGAGGGAAGUGAGGCACGCAGCUGUCGGAGGAAUCAGCCUGAGACCAUGGAGUCUGCGUUCAAGCUAACAGACCUAAAAGAAGCAUCAUGUUCCAUGACUUCAUUUCACCCCAGGGGACUUCAGGCUGUCCGUGCCCAGAAGUUCAAGAGUAAAAGGCCACGGAGUAACAGUGAUUCUUUUCAAGAAGAGGAUCUGAGGCAGGGUUUUCAGUGGAGGAAGAGCCUCCCUUUUGGGGCAGCCUCAUCUUACUUGAACUUGGAGAAGCUGGGUGAAGGUUCUUAUGCUACAGUUUACAAGGGGAUUAGCAGAAUAAAUGGACAACUAGUGGCUUUAAAAGUCAUCAGCAUGAAUGCAGAGGAAGGAGUCCCAUUUACAGCUAUCCGAGAAGCUUCUCUCCUGAAGGGCUUGAAACAUGCCAAUAUUGUGCUCCUGCAUGACAUAAUCCACACCAAAGAGACACUGACAUUUGUUUUUGAAUACAUGCACACAGACCUGGCCCAGUAUAUGUCCCAGCAUCCAGGCGGGCUUCAUCCUCACAAUGUCAGACUUUUCAUGUUUCAACUUUUGCGGGGCCUGGCGUACAUCCACCACCAACAUGUUCUUCACAGAGACCUGAAACCUCAGAACUUACUCAUCAGUCACCUGGGAGAGCUCAAACUGGCUGAUUUUGGUCUUGCUCGGGCCAAGUCUGUUCCCAGCCAAACAUAUUCUUCCGAAGUCGUGACCCUCUGGUACCGGCCUCCCGAUGCUUUGCUGGGAGCCACUGAAUAUUCCUCUGAGCUGGACAUAUGGGGUGCAGGCUGCAUCUUUAUUGAAAUGUUCCAGGGUCAACCUUUGUUUCCUGGAGUUUCCAACAUCCUUGAACAGCUGGAGAAGAUCUGGGAGGUGUUGGGAGUCCCUACAGAGGACACUUGGCCGGGAGUCUCCAAGCUACCCAACUACAAUCCAGAAUGGUUCCCGCUGCCUAAGCCUCCAAGCCUUCACGUUGUCUGGAACAGGCUGGGCAGAGUUCCUGAAGCUGAAGACCUGGCCUCCCAGAUGCUGAAAGGCUUUCCCAGAGACCGUGUCUCCGCCCAGGAAGCACUUGUGCAUGAUUACUUUAGUGCCCUCCCAUCUCAGCUGUACCAGCUUCCUGAUGCGCGAAGCAGCUGCGAUAAUUAUGCUGUCAGCCUCGGGAAGCUAAUGAGGAGUCACCGGAGUGGAAGGUUUUGCAUUUGUGAGAUUGCUGCAGGAGAGCCACGCUACAGCUUUUUUCGUUUUUUCUUUCCCUUUCUUUCUUCCUCCUCUUUCUUUUUCUAUGAGUUGGGAAGGAGAGUCUGGCAGUCCACGGCCAAAUUGGAAUCCUUUUGAUUAACCGGUUGCCUUCCCAACAUGUUCUGCCAGAUAAUGUCUCUCUCUCUCUCCCUCCCUGCUUUUGAGGAGCUGCUGCUUUUGAGGGGCAAGGAAGCCUGAGGGAAAUCCCAGCUUUUCAUGCCACUGUCCCCAAGGCAAGAGGAUACUUCUCCCCGAGAGAAGUUCCCCAAAUGAUUUGGAUUUGAGUUGGUUUGAGAACAAUCAGUAAAGUAUACGCACUGUUUAUUUUAGCUGUUUAACUGUCUAUACUAUGACAAGAGCUAAAAGAAAGUAGAAUACAAAAUUGCAUAUUAUAAUGUCCUUGUGAAAAUGUCUUUAUGCAUAGCAACAAAGUAUGAUGGUUCUCCUUUCCAGUCUAGCCAAUAUGCGAUUCCAAAUAGAAGAUGAGACCGCAGAUUACCUACCGCAUUUAGGGCAGAAGUGUAGGCCAGGAGAGGCAGGGCUGGCAAGUUUAUUUCUUCCAGCAAACAGCAUUAUUAAGGCAUUUUAUGCUUUUGGUGCACUAAGAACAGAGGCGUCUCUUUUUGUUAAAUUGUGAGGCAGUAUGCUCACAAUUUAACAAAAUUUUGACCAACCCAGGUUUACGCAGAUUGUGAACCUGGGAAAAGCAAUACUCACAUGGAAGGGGCCCUGAGCCAGUUUUGUGGGUGUACUUUGGCAACAGUGUGGCUGCUGCCUGUUGCCAUUUUUCUCGGGUAUCUGUGCUAAUACUUGUAACAAUAGCUACCAUUUAUUAAGAACAUAUUGUGUAUCAGAAACUAA
Molecule: non-coding RNA, 2219 nt
Organism: Saimiri boliviensis boliviensis (Bolivian squirrel monkey)
Lineage: Eukaryota; Metazoa; Chordata; Mammalia; Primates; Cebidae
Source: RefSeq, a predicted model, not a curated record